AGCAAUUUAUUGAUUACUUUUAAUUAUCAUUUCGAAAUAAAAUGGCUUUAUUACGAACGCUUAACUUACAGUGUUUUUUCUAAAAGUUUGGAGCAUCGCUACGCCGCUAUUAAAAUCAUAUGUCAUUGAAAAUGGUCAUUCAUUUUAAAAAGAUAUUUAAAUGAGAAAAUAUGAAAAUCGUAAGCAUUUCAAAACUUUUUGAAUUUUUAAAAUCCAUAAAUGAGCGAAAAAGUUAUUGAAAAUUAAAAAUUCCGAUCCUAUACACAAACGGUGUAAAAACAUUUGUUUUGCCAACCACCAGAUAAACAGGUGUUAAUGCGUGACGUCACGGCGAUCAUUUCAUUUAAUGGCUUUAUUACAAUCCCGAUACGUCAAACAUGUGAUAAAGUAACAUUCCAGUAACUUUCAGUUUCCAAAAAAGGACUUAAUGGCAGAAGUUGAAUUAAUAUGCAAAGAUAGAACCAUUUCUUAGAGUGAAAGUUAACAAUUCCUCGAGAGACUGUUGUGACAGAAUUUUAUCAAGAAACAGUAAUAAUUCAAUGACAUAUUCACUGUUCCAGCGAAAGAGAUCAAGUUUCUUGUAUCCAAGAGUCACAGUGGUGAAAAAAACAGAAAAGGAUUUAUUGCAAGUGUCAAAUGCCAGAUGAUGGGCAACACUUUAUGAUAAUGUGCAGCCUCUGUAACGACUGGUUUCAUCCAGAAUGCCUGGGUAUGGUGAAAGAAUCUGUCGAGCUAAAGAAGGGUAGUAAAUUCUUUUGCACUUUGUGUACAGAAUUUAGAGUUCCAGAGAUUCUAAAGCCUGGUGACGAGGAUGAAAAAUUGGACGCAGGGUUUUUUAUCACAACUGAAGACUUUGUAAACAUAUACCAGUAGUGUUGAGGAGAGUGCAUGACAUAGUUACACACACUGGCAAAAUGAGCAAACAGCCGUGGUUGAGAAGACACCUGCUGUUCAAACAUAAAAAACUAAGCGAAGCAUGGAUUUGGAUUUGCCAUUUUCAGUCAGCCGAUAGUUAUUUCACACAUUCAUCUACAUCUACGGAGAUACUCCCAACAAUCAAUUUCUGGGAGGUCGGGCCAGUGGUUAAAAGCAUGUUGCUAUGUUACAUGAUACAUAAUAUUCAUGUUGUUAAAAGAGUAAGAGCAGUAAUAUAUACAGCUUGUUAAAAAUAAAAACAGGAUGAUGACAUUAGUACAUAUACGAGUCUAGGUCAGAUGUGAAGCACUGAAGGUUCACACUGUCCUUGAUGUUAUAAGGUAAGGCGUUCCAGUAUCUGAUUGUGCGGGGGGAAAAAGAGUUCAUAUGAUAUUGUGUUCUUGAAGAUGAAAUGAUAAAGUUUUAAUUACUAGAGGUUUUCAGGUGGUUUUGAUCUACAGAUACGAGGUUGUGUGAUAUUUUAUACAACAUAAUUAAAGAUGCAUGUAUUCUUCUUUGUUCUUAUGUCUGCCAUUUAAAAGUUUCAAGCAUUGAUGUUACGCUGCUUUGGUAUGAGUAGUCAUUUAUAACAUAUCUGGCUGCAGCUCUUUGUACCUUUUCUAUCUCAUGUGUUAAGUUUUUCUGCCAUGGAUGCCAUAUGGUGUUACAGUAUUCUAAUUGUGGACGAACGAAUGUUUUGUAGGUAGUUUCUUUGAUAUUACGGUUAUUACAUUGUACAUUUCUUUUUAUAAAUCUGAGGGUGUUACUAUAGCUUUUGAAGAUGUAAUUUCAAUAUGUUUUUUUCCAACUAAAGUCAUCACUAAUAGUAAUCCCAAAGAUAUUUAGCAUUUUCUGUGGUUUUUAGUUCUUGAUUAUGUAAUUUAUAUGGAAAGAUGAUAUUUUUUCUUUUUUAGAGAUUCUUAUGAUUUCGCAUUUAUCAGGAUUAAAUUCCAUUGACCAUUUACGUUCCCAUUCUAAUUCUGCUAAAAUCUUGUAAACAUAAUAAAUGUUGAUAUCAAAAGUACCUCUACGCAUGACAGAUAUGUUUUUGUUUUAAAUAUGAUUCUGCCAAAAACCCUAUUGAACUGAUAACGACUAAGAUCUAUAAUUCUAAAUCCCAUAACUUUUAGCCUCAAGCACUACCUUGCAGUAUCAGUUUGAAGAAAAUCAGGGAAAUCGUCCAAAUAAGAAAUUCACUUAACAGACAAUGGUACUGAAAAUGCCAAGGGAUCUUAAUUAUGAGAAAAAAUAAAUAAAUUCAAACCUUUUUGCUCUUGAGUACAGACAUGCAUCCAUGUUCACAAUGAAAGUGAGUUCAGACAUUUGGCGAAAUAAUGAAUGAAUGAAAUUACUAAGUUUAUUAUGAAAUAUAAUUACAUGUAAAGUCCACAUUAGUUAAGCAAAUUUAAAAUAUUUACACAAAAAUCAGAAUAUCAGAGUAAGCGAAUUGGGACAGGACUGGUCAAAUAACUCUGGAAUAAUAGUGAACAUGCGCAAGUGUUACAGUAUUCAAGUAAUUGAAUAAAAUGCUAUCUUUUCUCUAUUAAAUAUAGCAAAGAGAUAGGCUAGCGGCUCAUGUUAGUGAUUAAGGCCAAUAUGUUUGUAUUUUAGGCAACUCUUUUUUUUUGAACACUUCCUGAAGAAUAUGUUCCUAAAAUACAAUCACAGGUAUAUUUUUCUGAAUUAAUAGAUGUGUCAUAGGUGAAUGUGUGGUGCAUUCAAGAUCUUUUAACAAAACGCAUAUAAAACCGGCCAAAAAGUUAAAAAGUUUCAUUUGGUAAGAAGAGCCUAACAUCUCAAAGUAUUUAAUAUCGAAAAAUGGUCAAAAAGAAUUGUAGCCCAGUGACCUCUUUUUAUGUUUUAUUUCUAUAUUUGAAAACAAUCUGAUUAAUGUAGUCGGCAUUUGGUUCUGCUAUAUUCCAGUAUGAUUAGCGUAUUCAGGCCUGACACACAAAAAGGUAUAUUUUGAAUGAAUUGGGUAGUCUUUUGAAUACUUAUAUAAUCAUUAGCAAUCAUGAUCAAAAAAGCACCAUUUUAACGCUGGAAAAGUUUGGAUAACUCAUCGGUAGUUUAGCAGUGCUUACUCUCUUCACGGGUAAACAGCCUCAUAUCAGUGCAAAUCUGCUCUGCUUUAUGCAAGUUUGCUUUAUGAGUACAUGUUUCUUUUUAAUUCAAGGGCUUUAAUGAGACUUUGUUUUUGCUUCAUAGUACACGUACUAAUUAAGCAGUGCUUAAUCGAUAACAUAAAACCACACUGUGCAGAGGAGACAACCAUGUUUUUAAUUCGUAAAGUCACAUGGUUUUUUCCAGGAAUUCCAGAUAAAUUUGAAAAUGGUGGGAAUAAUAUUUGUCAGACGUCAUCUGAAAUAAUAAUCAUGUCGUUGUUUUGCUUUUAUCUUUUCUUCAAAGCGUAGAAAAUGUGUUCUGAAUGAUUGAAAAAGUGAAUGCAACUCUUCGGAACCUGCGCUCAAGCAAGACGCAGUUUGGACAUAAACAAAGAAGACUUAAAGUAUGACAAUAUACUGCGGUAAAGUCAUUGUGUCACAGUCGUAACGUCAAACGUUAGAGCGGCACGCUGAAAAUGAUUACGACACAAAGCAGGCAAAUGUUUGCUUGAUGUCGUCAAUGAUGUAUAUACAUGUAGUAAUCCCAAAUAUCCUGUUAGAAUGGAAAAUACAUAUUUCAAACAAUCUCUUUAAUUAAAUAAUUAUCAGAUGAGCAUUACCAAAUCUCUCGAAAUGCGCCUUCUUGAUAUAAUUUCUUCGCUCCUGAAUUCCAAACAGCGAGGCUAUUCAACGAUAAAGUCAUUUUUUGGGUAACUUAUUUCUUUAACAAUAUUUUCUGUUAUAAAAAGACCUUGAGAAAUAUUUUAUUUUAGUUUAUAUAUAUAUCAAAGAUAUUUAUAGUAGUAUAUUUAAAGAUUAAUAGUCAUUACCACCAUGUUUUGUUUUCCGUUGAAUGUGUUCAUCAGCAUUAUAGACCGAUAAGUAUUAAUCUGCUAUUUAAAUCUGUUAAAUGUUGGCUAGUG
Mercenaria mercenaria is the source of this 3943-nucleotide long non-coding RNA. RefSeq lists it as uncharacterized. The record is from RefSeq and is a predicted model, not a curated record. Lineage: Eukaryota; Metazoa; Mollusca; Bivalvia; Venerida; Veneridae. The transcript is spliced from 5 exons.